GGAUUAGAUACCCUGGUAGUCCACGCCGUAAACGAUGAGAGCUAGUUGUCUGGCAGCAUGCUGUUAGGUGACGCAGCUAACGCAUUAAGCUCUCCGCCUGGGGAGUACGGCCGCAAGGUUAAAACUCAAAGAAAUUGACGGGGGCCCGCACAAGCGGUGGAGCAUGUGGUUUAAUUCGAAGCAACGCGCAGAACCUUACCUACCCUUGACAUACCAAUCGCGAUUUCCAGAGAUGGAUUUCUUCAGUUCGGCUGGAUUGGAUACAGGUGCUGCAUGGCUGUCGUCAGCUCGUGCCG
Molecule: ribosomal RNA, 296 nt
Filed under: uncultured bacterium
Lineage: Bacteria
Description: partial 16S ribosomal RNA
Rfam family: Bacterial small subunit ribosomal RNA
Source: RNAcentral